UUGUGGCCUGAGAAAAUGUUACCUACUCUCAGUAGAACACAGGCUGUAGAAACUGGAGGAAAUGUCUCCAAGCUUCUGGAUCUGGCUGGAAGAAUGACUUUACUAUCUGAAAGAGAAACUGCUAUAGGGAAGGAGAAUAAGAGCCAGUACUGAACAUGUAGCAUGUGUUGGGCAUUCUGCAUAUCGUGUCAUUUGGUCCCUCUAAUAGCCCUGCAGAGAGCCUCCGCUUUGCCUGAGAAAACUGAUGAAUGUGACAGUGUGAUAAAGAUAAGAGUUCUCAGCAAGCUGUUAUUUACUGUCAAGAAAAAGAAUUAUACCAAGGAAGAUGACCAGUAUAUUCUUCUAUAUCACAAAUUGUCCUUUCAAUGUUGUUUUCUUAGAGGAGUGAAAGUAAUUUUAUUUGUUGCUGAGUUUAUGGUCAAUUAUUUUCAGGUAACGUGUUUUUGCUCAAAAUAUUUUCUGAUCUACCUGACUACAACUCUUAAAAUGUCAUGCAUCAAGUGUUCUGCCUAAAAUAAGAUUUACUGUUACCGCUGAUGGUCUCACAGACAUCCCUCCCAAACCAUGGCUAGUAUCUACAAUAGAAAGCAAAUACGAAUAAUUUUUAACUCACAACUUAAUUCUAAUUUAAUUGAUUUUUAGUUAGAAUUUUAAGCUUUUGUUUCCAAUUAAGAAAAAGAUGUGGUCAAUGAUUUUAUUCUGUUUUUAUUAAAAAUGAGAAUGAAAAAGGGGACAGGUAUUUUCACUAGAUUCCAGUGCAUAAAUUUGAGCAAGAUCCCUUACUAGCAGUUUUGCCUUCCAUAAGGCAUGAAGUGUCCCCAUAAAGGUGUCGGGCUGCUCCAACGCCCAAGCCACAGACCAUUGUACAUUUCUGGCCCUAGGGAGAAGUGAGGCCUCUUCAAAUGUCGAUUAAAUUUUAAGAUCUUGGGGGGACUGUCAGAAGCUCAUGCUAAACCUUUGCCCCACCAGACUGCAGGUGGAGAUGUGGUGCCACCCAGUACAAAUGAUGACAAAAGUCAUUUCCAACUGUGAUGGUCCACAGUAUAACAAUAAGAGCUGCACAGCUCUUCUUAGCAUUUCCUCCUAUGAAGAACUCCACACACUUGAAUUUGCCAUACAGUGUUCUUGACACAUGCGAAGACACACCUUGUGUCUCUUGAGCAGGUGCCUUCAUCUCCCAAACCCCAGUUUCCUCCUCUGAAAUGGUUUAUAACUCGUACAACCUCAAAACAUUAAGGGGAGAGGGUGAAAAAUCAAUGCCGCUAAAGAAACUAAGGUUCCUCUCUCUGAAGGCAAAGGUAUGCCUGGCAGUCACUUACACUCUGUCUCAAAAAAUUGAGAACUUUCUUUAAGCAUGUAUCUACCAUAUCCAGUCAUUCUACUCCUAGCUGUUUACUCAAGAAAAAUAAAAAUGUGUGUCCACACA
This 1426-nucleotide long non-coding RNA is filed under the name Castor canadensis (American beaver). RNAcentral describes it as "lncRNA (ENSCCNG00000018487.1)". The record is from RNAcentral. Lineage: Eukaryota; Metazoa; Chordata; Mammalia; Rodentia; Castoridae.